Molecule: long non-coding RNA, 1354 nt
Filed under: Equus caballus (horse)
Lineage: Eukaryota; Metazoa; Chordata; Mammalia; Perissodactyla; Equidae
Description: lncRNA (ENSECAG00000047734.1)
Source: RNAcentral
GAGAAAUUGAGAGGUUAUUAUUAGUUUCAAGUGACAAUUGAGUGUGGUGUACCUUAUUCUGCAGACUCUCAAAGUGACUGAAAAGGCCAGAUAUCAUGAAUGUUCUUGACAGAUGCCACUUAAAAGCAAAAAAUUUAAAAAGGACCCUGAGGGCCCAGAUGAAGUUUUGAGGGAAACAGGGAGUGCAGAUGCACUGUUACUGUCACCACUCCCAGCAACAGUGAGCUGGACUUCCAGGUGGGCGCACCCAGAUGCUGCAGGAGACUCCAGAUGGACAGCAGCAGAGGGCAGGCCACCUAUAGGCUGUUGUGCUCUGAUGGAGUGGAAUACAGUUCAAAGACAAGCAAAGUUUAGCAUUCAUUUUACAUUAAAACGCAGGGAAAGAAGAUUGACUUCUGGUAUGACAGGCUGAGAAGCUCUGUGGACAUGCUAGGCAGUAAAACUGGUGAAGCAGGUAGAGACUCCACUUCAAGCUGGUGCAGCCAAGAAGACAGGCUCCUGCCCUCAGUUACCUAUUGAUAAGGCUAAGUUCUGGGUGAGUGCAUCUGAGAGGUGGGAGAUCUCUUCUAUCCAGCCUCCACUCAUGGAAUGGUGCCUCUACAUUGGGUGAAGUGCCCCUGAGAAUACAGCGGCCCAAAUCACCCUUGUCCAGCUCAUAAGAUGGUGGUUCUUAGCCAGGAGAGGCAAGCUGAGAUCUCAGGCUACUGCCCCCCACUUCACUGAGCACUCAGCUCCUAAAGCAGGGUGUCACUCAGAAAGAAAUGUGCCAUUGUUCCCACUCUGGGUCCAGAACCCUGGCUCAGAGAUUUUACCUGCUGGGAGAAGCAAGCUAUAAAACAAAUAGCCCCUUGUCUCUUCCCAAAGGAACUGACUUCAUUUGCACCCAGAUCACGGAGAAGUUCAAUCACAAGUGUACUCUCAAAAACAGUAGAGGUGGUGAUGAAAGGCAACUGGGAGGAGUUCGUAGGUUCAAUGAAGAUACAGACUAAAUUGUAGGCCAGCUCGUUUUCAGGAGAACUAGGGAAAGAGACAGCUAGGAAGAGUCCUCCUGGAGUUAGAACAAAUCUCAGACACUGAUCUUGGGAAGUAUUCCUUCAGUAAAUCCUGAACGGGGAUCAAAUUAGGCUGUAGAGAAAUUAUGUCCCCAGAGCAUUGUUGAAAACCAUAGAGCAAUCAGCUGGCAACUGGUGAAGCUUAACAGCUGGGUGUGGUCAGGGAAGGGACUAGAGAGCCCUGCCAAACCACUGUCAUUCCAGGGUGACUGUGGCUAUACUCAAAGCUGCACCUCCCCGAGGAACACCACCAGAAGUUUAACACGGGGAGAGACGAAAAUGGGGACAGAAUUCACUAAAAU